Molecule: ribosomal RNA, 252 nt
Filed under: uncultured bacterium
Lineage: Bacteria
Description: partial 16S ribosomal RNA
Rfam family: Bacterial small subunit ribosomal RNA
Source: RNAcentral
UACGGAGGGGGCGAGCGUUAUUCGGAAUUAUUGGGCGUAAAGGGUGCGUAGGUGGUGAUGCAAGUCUGGUGUGAAAUCUCGGAGCUCAACUCCGAAAUUGCACCGGAUACUGCGUGACUCGAGGACUGUAGAGGAGAUCGGAAUUCACGGUGUAGCAGUGAAAUGCGUAGAUAUCGUGAGGAAGACCAGUUGCGAAGGCGGAUCUCUGGGCAGUUCCUGACACUGAGGCACGAAGGCCAGGGAGCAAACGGG